This 497-nucleotide ribosomal RNA is filed under the name uncultured bacterium. RNAcentral's name for it is "partial 16S ribosomal RNA". It matches the Rfam family "Bacterial small subunit ribosomal RNA", at positions 28 to 507 of the family's 1533-position model. The record is from RNAcentral.
GAUGAACGCUGGCGGCGUGCCUAAUACAUGCAAGUCGAGCGAACAGACGAGGAGCUUGCGCCUCUCACGUUAGCCGCAGGCGGGUGAAUAACGCGUGGAUAACGUACCUGUAAGACUGGGAUAACUUCGGGAAACCGGAUCUAAUACCGGAGAAUCUAUUGCACCGCAGUGGGCGAUGGUAAAAGACGGUUGUUCUGUCACGUAUCGCUGGAUACGCGCCGCAUUAGCUGGUUGGUAAGGUCACAGCUUACCAAGGCGACGAUGCGUAGCCGAACUGAUAGAGGGGUAGGCGACCUGGGAAGGGAGCCAGCGACCAUACGCCUGAGAGAGGCAGCAGUAGGGUAUCGUCCGCAACGGGCGAAAGUAUGACGGAGCAACGGCGCGCGAGUGAUGAAGGCCUUCGGAUCGUAAAACUCUGUUAUUAGGGAAGAACAAAUUUGUAAGUAACUAUGCACGUAUUGACGGUACCUAAUCAGAAAGCCCCGGCUAACUACGUG